This 253-nucleotide ribosomal RNA is filed under the name uncultured bacterium. RNAcentral describes it as "partial 16S ribosomal RNA". It matches the Rfam family "Bacterial small subunit ribosomal RNA", at positions 524 to 776 of the family's 1533-position model. The record is from RNAcentral.
UACGUAGGGGGCAAGCGUUGUCCGGAUUUACUGGGUGUAAAGGGUGCUCAGGCGGGUUUGUAAGUCAGAGGUGAAACUCCGAAGCUUAACUUCGGAACUGCCUUUGAUACUGCAAUCCUGGAGUUUGAGAGAGGCGAGUGGAAUAUCUGGUGUAGCAGUGAAAUGCGUAGAUAUCAGAUAGAACACCAAUGGCGAAGGCAGCUCGCUGGCUCAAUACUGACGCUAAAGCACGAAAGUGUGGGUAGCAAACAGG